Molecule: long non-coding RNA, 1715 nt
Organism: Ficedula albicollis (Collared flycatcher)
Lineage: Eukaryota; Metazoa; Chordata; Aves; Passeriformes; Muscicapidae
Source: Ensembl
GCCAGCAUCCAUUUCUAGAUUUGAGUGAUAAGACAAUGAAUAAGUUAAUACUUGUCUUGUUACUAAAUCUUUGAAAGCCAGAUUAAUUUUUGUUGAAAGACAAAAAAGCUCCUGGAAGCCUCUUGAUCAGCCAAGGGGGUUUUGCACUGCUCUUUGUGAAGUCAGCCCUCCCUUUGUUAGUGAGCUUUCUGUGGUGCUUGUGAUAAUACCAUUAGGCAAAAGAAAUUUUCUAGUUCAGCCACAGUGACAAGCAUAUCUUUAUUAAGAAGAUUUAUCAUUAUGUAAGUCUUCUUACUUCCUCUAUCUUGUUUUUGUCACAUUCCAGUAUUCAGAGAUUGCUGGAAAAUGUCUGUUGUUGGAAAGUUCGUGCUAUAGGAGAUUUCAGCUAUAAGAAGACCCAUAAAUCAUCCCAUUCUUUGGCAGUGUCUUUGCCACAUGAGAUGUCCCUGAUAAAUCGUAUUGUGAGGACAAGCUGCUGCAUCACUGAUCUGAAGAAGGGCUUUCUCUUUUAAGACUGCAAGAAGAUACUACUAACUGGUAAACACUUGUCUGGGUUUCUUUGCUUGUGGAAUAUUUGUUUGUUUUCCAUAAUAUUUUAGGCCAAGGAAUACAAAGUAUUUUGAUCUGUUGAAAACAAGAAGUAGUUAAUGUAGUAUUUUUUCUUUCUAAUUGUCUGUAGCUCACCAGACAAAAGACUCUGUAGCAGUGGAUAACGUGUGGGUAUUUAAAUUGGAAUACAAAUUGAUUAAAUUCCUGCUCUCUCAAUAGAAGAAAAAAGACUGGUUGUUUUUUUUUUUUUCCCUGUAAUGGCUAGUUAGACAGUUUGUUUGGCUUUUUAGCUGAGACAAAUACAAUGUGUCUGUACUGUGUCCUAUAUAAAUACUAUUUGAAGUGUGAUAGUGCAAGCAGUGAAAUUUCAAAUAUAGUGCUGCAGAGUCUGGAGAGAGAAAAAAGGAAGCCUUAACAGAAGUCCAGAUGCUUUGGAAGAUGCCAUUAAUGUGCUUGUAAUUAUUCAAGGGAUAUUUGUUGAGGCCUAAUUUUCACUCAGAAUAAUUUAUGAUAAUAAAACUAAGGCUAUCUUGUGAUUCCCAGACACACCAAGUCAUAUGCAGGCUGCUUUUAGCUACAGAACAGUAAUAGGAUCAUCAGUGAAGAGCCAUGACCGCCUAAUAGCAGUUUACCAGUCUGUAAGUUAAGAUCACAGCAAUCAAAAGGAGACCUGAGAAUUUAGGAUAUUUGAAUGUCUUGACACAUGUAAAUAAUGUGCACAUUGAUAGUGGGUAUCAGAGUUAAAGCUCUCUUCUCAAAUUCUUAAUGUCGUAGAUGAAGUAGCAGUUUUCCUCUGUAGUUAUACUUUACUGUAAACCUUCUGUAAAGCUUGGAUCUAUCUUUCUGUUUACUGCUGCCACUUGAGCUGCAGGGCUUGUAAAUUUGUGUCAAAAGAGAUUCUUAGCCCAAAUGGGGUGAUGUGGCUGGGUUCAAGGAUGAGCACAGAAAGAAACACAUCCUAGUCAAUAAGAAAACACUAAGCUUUCAUGACUUAAGUGUUUACAGAUGCUUUAUUAAUCUUCACUUGCCAGUUAAUUUGCCUAAGUUUAGCUGUUGCAGAGAAUAUUAAAAGGCUUGGUUUGGUUACUCUGCCAAACCCAGAUUAAUGAUAGGAAAGUUUUGAAAGCUUAUAGUAGUCAGCAAUGUGCAUCGGUCAGAAUGGCAUA